Mobula hypostoma (lesser devil ray) is the source of this 1326-nucleotide long non-coding RNA. RefSeq lists it as uncharacterized. The transcript has 6 exons. NCBI's taxonomy places the organism in Eukaryota, Metazoa, Chordata, Chondrichthyes, Myliobatiformes, Myliobatidae. The record is from RefSeq and is a predicted model, not a curated record.
AUGUUGAAACGUUCAGUUUCUAGGUUAGUUUGGUGCUGGUUGCAGAGUUACCCAGAACAGCCCGCAAUUCGCAGAGGGCGGUCGCAGCGCUACUCUGCCGCAAACAUGGUUCUCCAGAUUGAAGUAUCGUACUGUUCUUCCUGAGGUUACCGGAGCCGGUUUAAUAGCCUCAAGCAGAAACUUGAAGAUGUGUUUCCUAACGAACUAGACAUCUUCGGGACACCAGUUUCUGGAAACACUGGCUGCUUUGAGGUUAAAAUAAAGAAGUCCGGCAAACUUCUUCAUUCUAAGCUGGGUGGUGAGGGCCAUGUUGAAGAAAUACAUCUUAAGAAGAUAAUCAAAGGAAUCGAAGCAGCCCUUGGAAAGUAACAAUAUGAUUCUCAAGUAAUUCUCAAGUUAAACAUGCAUUUAAUUUGUCUGCUGUGGCUGAACACUUAAUGACGGAGACAGCUGAAAUGUCUGUGAAGGCACGGCUGUUACCAGAUGUCCACGUGAAAGGCUCCAGUGACCAGGUUUUAUGGAGUUUUGACUUGAGUGAAUUUUCAUCAAGCAAGUCCUUUUGUUUUUACUCCUCCUCCUUGUGCCCCCCCCCCACCUCCUCCAGGGCUUCUAAGUAACUUCUUCCUACAGUGCUGCAUUGCAAGAAUGCACAACCCUAACCAAUGGAAAGGUCGCAUAUUUUCUGCAACCUUGUGGUAUUUGAUUAGGGCUCCCUUCUCCACUAUGCAACUGGUCAAUGUUUGCACUCUAGAUCUAUCUACCAGCUGUCCACCUUAAACUAUAUGGCAUUGUACUCACAUCCUGGCAAAGAGGUAAUUUUCAAGAUCUGUCCUAACGAAUCUAACUUCAGCUUGGUGGUGCAUGGCAUAGACAAAUUAAGAACAGAAAUAUUUAAGUUAGUAAAACACCAAGCCUGUUGUUUUAAGUGAACCUACCUUGUAUUGGCAAAAUUAAAUGCUAUGAUUAUGUUCCUCCUUAAUGAUUACAUCAGUUUUGACCAUCGUAAAAUAUAGGAGCUAAAUUAGCCCAUUUGAUGAGAUAAGUGAAAACAGUAACAUUACUUCCCCUUGUAACAGAUGCAGAUUGCACACUUGCUUAUAAACUAUUAUUCCAAAAGAAAUGCUGCGUAUAUUGGAAAAUUCUUAAUGACAAGCUACUAAGCAGGUCUGACAUGAUGUUUCAGAUUGCAGACUUGUUAUUUUGAGAUUUUAAUGGUAUUACCUUGCCUCCUGAGUAUUUCUGCCACUUUUGAAUUCAUCUUAUCCUGGGUGAUCUCAAAUGUAUCAAUUUUACUGAUGUAGUACUGCAAUAAAAUCAAUGACAAUC